RNAcentral lists this transfer RNA (76 nucleotides) under Streptomyces noursei. RNAcentral's name for it is "tRNA-Ala". It matches the Rfam family "tRNA". Rfam says of the family: Transfer RNA (tRNA) molecules are approximately 80 nucleotides in length. RNAcentral also lists the same sequence under 24 other names. Lineage: Bacteria; Bacillati; Actinomycetota; Actinomycetes; Kitasatosporales; Streptomycetaceae. The record is from RNAcentral.
GGGGCCUUAGCUCAGUUGGUAGAGCGCUGUCUUUGCAUGGCAGAUGUCAGGGGUUCGACUCCCCUAGGCUCCACCC